Long non-coding RNA from Mugil cephalus (flathead mullet), 879 nucleotides. RefSeq lists it as uncharacterized. NCBI's taxonomy places the organism in Eukaryota, Metazoa, Chordata, Actinopteri, Mugiliformes, Mugilidae. The transcript is spliced from 4 exons. The record is from RefSeq and is a predicted model, not a curated record.
UUCCCACUUGGAGCCGGUCUCCAGGGCAGAUCUUCCGGGCGACUCGCCCCGUAAGAAAUUAGAAAAUGCUACAAUAAAAAACCCCGAAAAAACUGAAAAAAAUAUGGGAACUUUAAUAAUGAAAGCCCUCACGCCGUCCAGCGUAAACACACACACCUCCUUUUAGCUGGAAGUCAGCGAAAAGACAGCGAAGUACCACAGAUCAUUCAAGGAAAGCCAUCUUCUAUAUUAAAAAUGCCACUGCUAGUACAACACAAGGCAUGGUUGGCAACCUGUUCCCAUUGCUGCCCCCUCCUUCCCACCAGCCACCAAGCCCCUCCAGGGAGCCUUGGGAGACAGAGAGCCAUCACCAUGGUGAUGUGAACACAGAUCCCCUACACACCGGUCCAUUGUGACUGGCGUGCGUUGAGAUCUCAGUGGAAUUGCGCUCAGAUCCGUGUGGAGGGACCGCUGGAGGAGAGACUGUGGGAGUUGGUGAAACCAGUUGAUUGGAGAAAUGAACAGAGUAACGUGGAAAUAGACUGUUAUUACUAAUAACUCCAUGUUUUUGUUUCCCUUUUUUUUUGUUUUUAGCAUCUGGGUAAAAACACAAAAGCCCUGUCACCAGGGAAUGUCAUUAUCACUAUCUGAUUAAAUUGUUUUUUUUGCAAAUUCUCCAAACAGACAUAGCCCAAAGUUAAACGAAACCGACAGGCUUUUUAAUAUUUUAAAAGGUCUUUUGCGCUUCUGUGGUUUUGAAUAUUAUUUAAUCAGCAUCAGAGUGUUUCAAUUUGGAACUUAUUCAGUAAUAAUGAAGUAGCUUAAUUUGGCAGAAAUUCUAUGCAGUUUUCCUGUAUAUUUAACAAAUAAUCUGAAUAAAUUAUGUUUGGGAGAAACCUC